Molecule: non-coding RNA, 46 nt
Organism: Xenopus tropicalis (tropical clawed frog)
Lineage: Eukaryota; Metazoa; Chordata; Amphibia; Anura; Pipidae
Source: Rfam
CCAAAGGCUCUUUUCAGAGCCCCCACUCGGUCACAAGGUUCUGUAA